Molecule: ribosomal RNA, 452 nt
Filed under: uncultured bacterium
Lineage: Bacteria
Description: bacterial SSU rRNA
Rfam family: Bacterial small subunit ribosomal RNA
Source: RNAcentral
UAGUCCGCACGAGCGCACCCUUGCCCUCUGUCUGCCACCGGGUAAUGCCGAGCACUCUGAGGGGACUGCGCCGGAUAACGGCGAGGAAGGUGAGGACGACGUCAAGUCAUCAUGGCCCUUAUGUCCAGGGCUGCACACGUGCUACAAUGGCCGGUGCAAAGGGUCGCGAUACCGCGAGGUGGAGCCAAUCCCAAAAAACCGGUCUCAGUUCGGAUUACAGUCUGCAACUCGACUGUAUGAAGCUGGAAUUGCUAGUAAUCGUGGAUCAGCAUGCCACGGUGAAUACGUUCCCGGGUCUUGUACACACCGCCCGUCAAGCUAGGAAAGCCGGAUAUCCCUGAAGUCGCGGACCUAACCCGCAAGGGAGGGGAGCGCCGAAGGUAGAGCUGGCGAUUCGAGCUAAGUCGUAACAAGGUAGCCGUACCGGAAGGUGCGGCUGGAUCACCUCCUUU